CCUACGGGAGGCAGCAGUGGGGGAUAUUGCACAAUGGGGGGAACCCUGAUGCAGCGACGCCGCGUGGGUGAAGAAGCGCCUCGGCGCGUAAAGCCCUGUCAGCAGGGAAGAAAAUGACGGUACCUGAAGAAGAAGCCCCGGCUAACUACGUGCCAGCAGCCGCGGUAAUACGUAGGGGGCAAGCGUUAUCCGGAUUUACUGGGUGUAAAGGGGGCGCAGACGGCGAUGCAAGCCAGGAGUGAAAGCCCGGGGCCCAACCCCGGGACUGCGCUUGGAACUGCGUGGCUGGGGUGCAGGAGGGGCAGGCGGAAUUCCUAGUGUAGCGGUGAAAUGCGUAGAUAUUAGGAGGAACACCAGUGGCGAAGGCGGCCUGCUGGACGAUGACUGACGUUGAGGCUCGAAAGCGUGGGGAGCAAACAGGAUUAGAUACCCUUGUAGUC
RNAcentral lists this ribosomal RNA (440 nucleotides) under uncultured bacterium. Its description in RNAcentral is "partial 16S ribosomal RNA". It matches the Rfam family "Bacterial small subunit ribosomal RNA", at positions 338 to 795 of the family's 1533-position model. The record is from RNAcentral.